RNAcentral lists this ribosomal RNA (2493 nucleotides) under Listeria monocytogenes serotype 1/2b. RNAcentral's name for it is "partial 23S ribosomal RNA". It matches the Rfam family "Bacterial large subunit ribosomal RNA", at positions 1 to 2484 of the family's 2925-position model. Lineage: Bacteria; Bacillati; Bacillota; Bacilli; Caryophanales; Listeriaceae. The record is from RNAcentral.
UUGGUUAAGUUAGAAAGGGCGCACGGUGGAUGCCUUGGCACUAGGAGCCGAAGAAGGACGGGACUAACACCGAUAUGCUUUGGGGAGCUGUACGUAAGCGUUGAUCCAGAGAUUUCCGAAUGGGGGAACCCACUAUCUUUAGUCGGAUAGUAUCCUUACGUGAAUACAUAGCGUGAGGAAGGCAGACCCAGGGAACUGAAACAUCUAAGUACCUGGAGGAAGAGAAAGAAAAAUCGAUUUCCUGAGUAGCGGCGAGCGAAACGGAAAGAGCCCAAACCAAGAAGCUUGCUUCUUGGGGUUGUAGGACACUCUAUACGGAGUUACAAAAGAAAGUUAUAAAUGAAGCGGUCUGGAAAGGCCCGCCAAAGACGGUAACAGCCCGGUAGUUGAAAUGGCUUUCCCUCCAGAGUGGAUCCUGAGUACGGCGGAACACGUGAAAUUCCGUCGGAAUCCGGGAGGACCAUCUCCCAAGGCUAAAUACUCCCUAGUGACCGAUAGUGAACCAGUACCGUGAGGGAAAGGUGAAAAGCACCCCGGAAGGGGAGUGAAACAGUUCCUGAAACCGUGUGCCUACAAGUAGUUAGAGCCCGUUAAUGGGUGAUAGCGUGCCUUUUGUAGAAUGAACCGGCGAGUUACGAUUUGUUGCAAGGUUAAGCGGAAAAAGCGGAGCCGUAGCGAAAGCGAGUCUGAAUAGGGCGCAUAAGUAACAGGUCGUAGACCCGAAACCAGGUGAUCUACCCAUGUCCAGGAUGAAGGUAAGGUAAUACUUACUGGAGGUCCGAACCCACGCACGUUGAAAAGUGCGGGGAUGAGGUGUGGGUAGCGGAGAAAUUCCAAUCGAACUUGGAGAUAGCUGGUUCUCUCCGAAAUAGCUUUAGGGCUAGCCUCGAGGUAAAGAGUCAUGGAGGUAGAGCACUGUUUGGACUAGGGGCCCUUCUCGGGUUACCGAAUUCAGAUAAACUCCGAAUGCCAUGUACUUAUACUCGGGAGUCAGACUGCGAGUGAUAAGAUCCGUAGUCGAAAGGGAAACAGCCCAGACCACCAGUUAAGGUCCCCAAAUAUAUGUUAAGUGGAAAAGGAUGUGGGGUUGCUUAGACAACCAGGAUGUUGGCUUAGAAGCAGCCACCAUUGAAAGAGUGCGUAAUAGCUCACUGGUCGAGUGACCCCGCGCCGAAAAUGUACCGGGGCUAAACAUAUUACCGAAACUGUGGAUGAACCUCUUUAGAGGUUCGUGGUAGGAGAGCGUUCUAAGGGCGGUGAAGUCAGACCGGAAGGACUGGUGGAGCGCUUAGAAGUGAGAAUGCCGGUAUGAGUAGCGAAAGAAGGGUGAGAAUCCCUUCCACCGAAUAUCUAAGGUUUCCUGAGGAAGGCUCGUCCGCUCAGGGUUAGUCGGGACCUAAGCCGAGGCCGAUAGGCGUAGGCGAUGGACAACAGGUAGAGAUUCCUGUACCAGUGCUAAUUGUUUAACCGAUGGGGUGACACAGAAGGAUAGGGAAUCGCACGAAUGGAAAUGUGCGUCCAAGCAGUGAGUGUGAGAAGUAGGCAAAUCCGCUUCUCGCGAAGCAUGAGCUGUGAUGGGGAAGGAAAUUAAGUACGGAAGUUCCUGAUUUCACGCUGUCAAGAAAAGCCUCUAGGAAGAGUAGUACUGCCCGUACCGCAAACCGACACAGGUAGAUGAGGAGAGAAUCCUAAGGUGAGCGAGAGAACUCUCGUUAAGGAACUCGGCAAAAUGACCCCGUAACUUCGGGAGAAGGGGUGCUCUAUUAGGGUGCAAGCCCGAGAGAGCCGCAGUGAAUAGGCCCAGGCGACUGUUUAGCAAAAACACAGGUCUCUGCAAAACCGUAAGGUGACGUAUAGGGGCUGACGCCUGCCCGGUGCUGGAAGGUUAAGAGGAGUGCUUAGCUUCGGCGAAGGUACGAAUUGAAGCCCCAGUAAACGGCGGCCGUAACUAUAACGGUCCUAAGGUAGCGAAAUUCCUUGUCGGGUAAGUUCCGACCCGCACGAAAGGCGCAACGAUCUGGGCACUGUCUCAACGAGAGACUCGGUGAAAUUAUAGUACCUGUGAAGAUGCAGGUUACCCGCGACAGGACGGAAAGACCCCGUGGAGCUUUACUGCAACCUGAUAUGGAAUGUUUGUACCGCUUGUACAGGAUAGGUAGGAGCCGAAGAGACGUGUGCGCUAGCAUACGAGGAGGCAAUGGUGGGAUACUACCCUGGCUGUAUGACCAUUCUAACCCGCCACGCUUAGCGCGUGGGGAGACAGUGUCAGGUGGGCAGUUUGACUGGGGCGGUCGCCUCCUAAAGAGUAACGGAGGCGCCCAAAGGUUCCCUCAGAAUGGAUGGAAAUCAUUCGCAGAGUGUAAAGGCACAAGGGAGCUUGACUGCGAGACUGACAAGUCGAGCAGGGACGAAAGUCGGGCUUAGUGAUCCGGUGGUUCCGCAUGGAAGGGCCAUCGCUCAACGGAUAAAAGCUACCCCGGGGAUAACAGGCUU